Molecule: long non-coding RNA, 766 nt
Organism: Herpailurus yagouaroundi (jaguarundi)
Lineage: Eukaryota; Metazoa; Chordata; Mammalia; Carnivora; Felidae
Exons: 5
Source: RefSeq, a predicted model, not a curated record
CGCGGGUGCACGCUGGCCAGUGGACGUGCCCAUUUCCAGCUAGAGGAAGAGUCGCUCCUCGCCAGCCCCCCACCGACCCCGCCCGAAACGAGUGUAGGAGCCUCUCCUCGGGGAACUGAUCGACCAGUUUGCUUAUCAGAGCAAUUGCUUCCCUCUGUUAACAUGGAUAAUUAAGAACUGACUGUGUAGUUCUUGAUAAGGCAGAGAAUAAGAAACAAGGCCGUUUGGAAAAUGUGAACAGGAAAUAGUUAAACACAAGCACAGAAUGCUGUUACAAUGAGGAAGAGCCUUGCCUCAUGCCUCGGCCCCAUGUACCAAGCGUGGACAACCAGCAGAAUUUUCCGCUGUUUCCUGAAAUAAGCCCAAGAACACUCUGACUCCCAGCAUCUCCCAGCACUUACAGGGGCCUAUUCAGAUGAGGAGCCCUAAAGCUGACCCGAAGCUUCAUGAGCUGCUUCACCUUUAUGGUAAAAAGGUGAGCACCUUUUUAGGAGCACCUAUCUUAGUUUGGAGUUGUUAAAUCAUUAACAUGUCUAUUUUAUUAAUAUCUUCCUCCCCUAGUAGACUGUGUUCUGUGAGAUCAGGGACCAUGUCUAACUUUGCCAAUCAUGAAAUCUUUAGUGUUUAGUGUGGUGCCCGAGAUGGAAUAGGUGCUCGAUAAAUAUUUCUUUGCCUAGCACAGUGCCUGACAGGGUUCAGUGUUGGGCUGAAUGGAACAGAUAGAAGCCCUACCCUUCCCUCACUUUCUGUAGGCAGAAUGCCAACC